RNAcentral lists this long non-coding RNA (455 nucleotides) under Brassica rapa (field mustard). RNAcentral's name for it is "long non-coding RNA (BRAP_LNC001578)". The record is from RNAcentral. Lineage: Eukaryota; Viridiplantae; Streptophyta; Magnoliopsida; Brassicales; Brassicaceae.
UCACAUUAAGAAUUAAGAUCAUGGUGGACGUUUGUCAACCAGUAACCAUAUAUAUAUAUAUAGAUGUAUACAUUGUCUUCUCUCGCUUUCUUUGUAAACAAGAGAUGGAUAAAUUGUUGGUAGGUGGAAAUCAAGAGUUUUAUUUCCAUAACAUUUUUGAAAUAUUAGUGUUGAAAAGGAGAUAUUAGUAUAUCAAUACAGAGCACGUUUGCAUGGAUUUCUUGUCCGAUAUAGAAUCUAACAUUUGGUAAAGACAUAUCUAAAUGCUAUAAAACACUAACUUGGUAUAUGAAAAGAAAAUAAAAAAAUUAGGUGGAUUUGUUUGUUUUCUUUAGAAACUGAAACACAAUAGUACUGUCACUUGCCAUUAGGCAUUUCUCAUUAGUUUUUUAUAAACCGACAAUUAACAAAACUUGCCAAAUUUUAGGCGAGAAAAGACAUAAAAUAGACGUGGA